GCGAGCUAAUUGCAUUUACUUAAAAUUAAAUUUUAAGAGAGUGUCCCUUUUUAUUUAUAAAAAAUUGGAUGGCUUUUAAGAGAGUGGUCCCUUUUUAUUUUAAAAAUUUGAAAACCUUUUAAAGAGGAAGGGUCCAUUUUUUAUGUAGUUACUACUUUGUAGUUUAAAAUUCUAGAUAGAAUUAUGAUGAUGACAUUAUCUAUCUAUUAGUCUUGACCAAAUUACGUGCCAGCAGUCGCGGUAAUACGUAAAAGACAAGUGUUAUUCAUCUUUAUUGGGUUUAAAGAGUACCAAGACGGUUAAUAAAGCCCAAAAUACAUGAACACAGGGGACACAUUAACUAGAGUUAUAUGAAAGGAAGCACUAAAGUACUGUUGAGUGUAGAGAUAAAAUUCUAUCAUACCAGAUAAAGGCACAGAUUUAUGCGAAGGCAUCUUCUUAUGUAAUAACUGACGUUGUAGGACGAAGGCUUUUUAAGUGAAGAGGAUUAGAGACCCUUGUAAUCUAAGCAGAAAAUGAUGAAUGUCAUAGGUUUAAUAUAUUAUUGGGUCUAUAAAUGAAAGUGUAAGCAUUCCACCUCAAGAGUAAUUUGGCAACAUUGGAACUGAAAUCAUUAGACCGUUUCUGAAACCAGUAGUGAAGUAUGUUGUUUAAUUAGAUGAUACACAAAAAACCUUACCACAAUUUGAAUAUAUAUCUUUAAAGAUAUUUACAAGCGUUGCACGGCUGUCUUCAGUUAAUGUCGUGAGAUUUUGGUUAGUUCCAUAAAAUUAACGUAAACCCUCGUUUUAUUUAGAAAUAAAAUUUAGAUCUGUUUCAAU
RNAcentral lists this ribosomal RNA (821 nucleotides) under Ricasolia amplissima. Its description in RNAcentral is "SSU rRNA". It matches the Rfam family "Bacterial small subunit ribosomal RNA", at positions 1 to 1147 of the family's 1533-position model. Lineage: Eukaryota; Fungi; Ascomycota; Lecanoromycetes; Peltigerales; Lobariaceae. The record is from RNAcentral.